CAACGAAUCUUCCGCAAUGCACGAAAGUGUGACGGAGCAAUGCCGCGUGCGGGAUGAAGCGGCUCUGCCGUGUAAACCGCUGUCAGGACCAAGGAAUACUGACCUGGUCCAAAGGAAGGGCCGGCUAAUCUCGUGCCAGCAGCCGCGGUAAUACGAGAGGCCCGAGCGUUAUUCGGAAUCACUGGGCUUAAAGGGUGCGUAGGCGGCUAUGUAGGCGUCCUGUGAAAUCCCACGGCUCAACCGUGGAAUUGCGGGGCGAACCACAUAGCUUGAACCUGGUAGGGGCUGUCGGACGAUCGGUGGAGCGGUGAAAUGCGUAGAUAUCGAUCGGAACGCCGAAGGUGAAGACGGGCAGCUGGGCCAGAGUUGACGCUGAGGCACGAAAGCGUGGGGAUCAAACAGGAUUAGAUACCCUGGUAGUCCACGCCGUAAACGAUGUGCACUAGACCGGGGCGGUUUUGACGCCGUCCUGGUCGUAGGG
This 481-nucleotide ribosomal RNA is filed under the name uncultured bacterium. RNAcentral's name for it is "bacterial SSU rRNA". It matches the Rfam family "Bacterial small subunit ribosomal RNA", at positions 355 to 853 of the family's 1533-position model. The record is from RNAcentral.